GAAAUGCGAUAAGUAAUGUGAAUUGCAGAAUUCAGUGAAUCAUCGAAUCUUUGAACGCACCUUGCGCUCCUUGGUAUUCCUUGGAGCAUGCCUGUUUGAGUAUCAUGAAAUCUUCAAAGUAAAUCUUUUGUUAACUCAAUUGUUUUCUACUUUGGUAUUGGAGGUCUUUGCAGCUUCACACCUGCUCCUCUUUGUUCAUUAGCUGGAUCUCAGUGUUAUGCUUGGUUCCACUCGGCGUGAUAAGUUAUCUAUCGCUGAGGACACUGUAAAAGGUGGCCAAGGUAAAUGCAGAUGAACCGCUUCUAAUAGUCCAUUGACUUGGACAAUACUUUUAUGAUCUGAUCUCAAAUCAGGUAGGACUACCCGCUGAACUUAAGC
This 378-nucleotide unclassified non-coding RNA is filed under the name plant metagenome. RNAcentral's name for it is "partial contains 5.8S ribosomal RNA, internal transcribed spacer 2, and large subunit ribosomal RNA". The stretch from base 1 to 105 matches the Rfam family "5.8S ribosomal RNA", at positions 50 to 154 of the family's 154-position model. The record is from RNAcentral.